GACGAACGCUGGCGGCGUGCUUAACACAUGCAAGUCGAGCGGUAAGGCCCUUUCGGGGGUACACGAGCGGCGAACGGGUGAGUAACACGUGGGUGACCUGCCCUCAGCUCUGGGAUAAGCCUGGGAAACCGGGUCUAAUACUGGAUAUGACUCCAUGACGCAUGUUGUGGGGUGGAAAGCCUUGUGCGGCUGAGGAUGGGCCCGCGGCCUAUCAGCUUGUUGGUGGGGUGANGGCCUACCAAGGCGACGACGGGUAGCCGGCCUGAGAGGGCGACCGGCCACACUGGGACUGAGACACGGCCCAGACUCCUACGGGAGGCAGCAGUGGGGAAUAUUGGACAAUGGGGGAAACCCUGAUCCAGCGACGCCGCGUGUGUGAAGAAGGCCUGCGGGUUGUAAAGCAC
RNAcentral lists this ribosomal RNA (404 nucleotides) under uncultured bacterium. RNAcentral describes it as "bacterial SSU rRNA". It matches the Rfam family "Bacterial small subunit ribosomal RNA", at positions 28 to 433 of the family's 1533-position model. The record is from RNAcentral.